RNAcentral lists this transfer RNA (85 nucleotides) under Claviceps sp. Clav50 group G5. Its description in RNAcentral is "tRNA-Ala". It matches the Rfam family "tRNA". From Rfam's summary of the family: Transfer RNA (tRNA) molecules are approximately 80 nucleotides in length. Their secondary structure includes four short double-helical elements and three loops (D, anti-codon, and T loops). Further hydrogen bonds mediate the characteristic L-shaped molecular structure. tRNAs have two regions of fundamental functional importance: the anti-codon, which is responsible for specific mRNA codon recognition, and the 3' end, to which the tRNAs corresponding amino acid is attached (by aminoacyl-tRNA synthetases). tRNAs cope with the degeneracy of the genetic code in two manners: having more than one tRNA (with a specific anti-codon) for a particular amino acid; and 'wobble' base-pairing, i.e. permitting non-standard base-pairing at the 3rd anti-codon position. The record is from RNAcentral. Lineage: Eukaryota; Fungi; Ascomycota; Sordariomycetes; Hypocreales; Clavicipitaceae. RNAcentral also lists the same sequence under 1 other name.
GGGCGAAUGGUUUAGUGGUAUAAUACUCCCUUAGCAUGGUUUCUGAGUCUGGGAGUGGUCCAGGGUUCGAUUCCCUGUUCGUCCA